RNAcentral lists this transfer RNA (72 nucleotides) under Dendronephthya gigantea. RNAcentral's name for it is "tRNA-Pro". It matches the Rfam family "tRNA". From Rfam's summary of the family: Transfer RNA (tRNA) molecules are approximately 80 nucleotides in length. Their secondary structure includes four short double-helical elements and three loops (D, anti-codon, and T loops). The record is from RNAcentral. Lineage: Eukaryota; Metazoa; Cnidaria; Anthozoa; Malacalcyonacea; Nephtheidae.
GGCUUGCUGGUCUAGUGGUAUGAUUCUCGCUUUGGGUGCAAGAGGUCAUGGGUUCGAUUCCCGUGCAAGCCC